This is a non-coding RNA of Nylanderia fulva, 1857 nucleotides long. The record is from RefSeq and is a predicted model, not a curated record. Lineage: Eukaryota; Metazoa; Arthropoda; Insecta; Hymenoptera; Formicidae.
CGCAUCUUAAAUAUAUGUUUCAUGUUAUUUUAUAUAUAAAAAGAUCUCAACUUUACGUAGCGUAUGCAGCGUGUAGUAUCUCGCGAAUUUAUAAACGGUUAGUGCUGUUGUACUGAAUCGAUAGGGGCGAGAGAUAUCGAUAAUCGAAUUAUUUCGAACAAAUUCGAGAUUUCGAGUUGACACAACAAGCAAGUGUCAAAUGCACAUCUGUUGAGGGAGAGAAUGGACUUCGAGAGUCCGGAUGUCGAGAAAGAAUUUCCCGGUUUGUACGCUUCCGAAUCGGCGAGAAAGAGCAAUGAGAGCGAUUGUACGUAACAAGACAUCAUCGUAUUAUAUCUACGUUUGACGUUUCAGACAGUAGACACUGCGAAAGAGAGGUUAUGCAUCUAUCAGGUUAGUGAUGAAGGCAUCCACGACAAGCAUUCCAAAAAGGAGCUCUUGUCUAAUUUUACAUAAUUUCUGGCAUUCCUGAAGGAUGUGCUAUUGAUCAUUCGCAAAUCAGUUCACCGAGAGUGCAAGAUUUCUCAAGAGGGAUUAAUUUUGAGAAACAUUCCCUUGACAGCGACAUAAUAAUUACUCCUUCUUCAAGAUUGUCAGUUAGCUCACUGAUAGAUAGUAGAUUUAUUAGAAUUUUUAACCCCUGAUGCUAGUGGAAUGUCUGGCAUUCCUGAAGGAUGUGCUAUUGAUCAUUCGCAAAUCAGUUCACCGAGAGUGCAAGAUUUCUCAAGAGGGAUUAAUUUUGAGAAACAUUCCCUUGACAGCGACAUAAUAAUUACUCCUUCUUCAAGAUUGUCAGUUAGCUCACUGAUAGAUAGUAGAUUUAUUAGAAUUUUUAACCCCUGAUGCUAGUGGAAUGUCUGGCAUUCCUGAAGGAUGUGCUAUUGAUCAUUCGCAAAUCAGUUCACCGAGAGUGCAAGAUUUCUCAAGAGGGAUUAAUUUUGAGAAACAUUCCCUUGACAGCGACAUAAUAAUUACUCCUUCUUCAAGAUUGUCAGUUAGCUCACUGAUAGAUAGUAGAUUUAUUAGAAUUUUUAACCCCUGAUGCUAGUGGAAUGUCUGGCAUUCCUGAAGGAUGUGCUAUUGAUCAUUCGCAAUUCAGUUCACCGAGAGUGCAAGAUUUCUCAAGAGGGAUUAAUUUUGAGAAACAUUCCCUUGACAGCGACAUAAUAAUUACUCCUUCUUCAAGAUUGUCAGUUAGCUCACUGAUAGAUAGUAGAUUUAUUAGAAUUUUUAACCCCUGAUGCUAGUGGAAUGUCUGGCAUUCCUGAAGGAUGUGCUAUUGAUCAUUCGCAAUUCAGUUCACCGAGAGUGCAAGAUUUCUCAAGAGGGAUUAAUUUUGAGAAACAUUCCCUUGACAGCGACAUAAUAAUUACUCCUUCUUCAAGAUUGUCAGUUAGCUCACUGAUAGAUAGUAGAUUUAUUAGAAUUUUUAACCCCUGAUGCUAGUGGAAUGUCUGGCAUUCCUGAAGGAUGUGCUAUUGAUCAUUCGCAAUUCAGUUCACCGAGAGUGCAAGAUUUCUCAAGAGGGAUUAAUUUUGAGAAACAUUCCCUUGACAGCGACAUAAUGAUUACUCCUUCUUCAAGAUUGUCAGUUAGCUCACUGAUAGAUAGUAGAUUUAUUAGAAUUUUUAACCCCUGAUGCUAGUGGAAUGUCUGGCAUUCCUGAAGGAUGUGCUAUUGAUCAUUCGCAAAUCAGUUCACCGAGAGUGCAAGAUUUUUCAAGAGGGAUUAAUUUUGAGAAACAUUCCCUUGACAGCGACAUAAUAAUUACUCCUUUACUUAUGGUGGUGAUUUGUUGCAAAGGGAAAGUGAAGGUAUAUUUUAUGCGAUAUACGCAACUUCCUGGUUUACGCUUCC